RNAcentral lists this ribosomal RNA (398 nucleotides) under uncultured bacterium. RNAcentral describes it as "partial 16S ribosomal RNA". It matches the Rfam family "Bacterial small subunit ribosomal RNA", at positions 523 to 918 of the family's 1533-position model. The record is from RNAcentral.
AUACGUAGGUGACAAGCGUUGUCCGGAAUUACUGGGCGUAAAGAGCUCGUAGGUGGUUUGUCGCGUCGUCUGUGAAAUUCCGGGGCUUAACUCCGGGCGUGCAGGCGAUACGGGCAUAACUUGAGUACUGUAGGGGAGACUGGAAUUCCUGGUGUAGCGGUGAAAUGCGCAGAUAUCAGGAGGAACACCGGUGGCGAAGGCGGGUCUCUGGGCAGUAACUGACGCUGAGGAGCGAAAGCAUGGGUAGCGAACAGGAUUAGAUACCCUGGUAGUCCAUGCCGUAAACGGUGGGCGCUAGGUGUAGGGGUCUUCCACGACUUCUGUGCCGUAGCUAACGCAUUAAGCGCCCCGCCUGGGGAGUACGGCCGCAAGGCUAAAACUCAAAUGAAUUGACGGGG